This 465-nucleotide ribosomal RNA is filed under the name uncultured bacterium. RNAcentral's name for it is "partial 16S ribosomal RNA". It matches the Rfam family "Bacterial small subunit ribosomal RNA", at positions 28 to 507 of the family's 1533-position model. The record is from RNAcentral.
GACGAACGCUGGCGGCGUGCUUAACACAUGCAAGUCGAACGGAAAGGCCCUGCUUUCAGUGUACUCGAGUUGCGAACGGGUGAGUAACACGUGGGUGAUCUGCCCUGCACUUCGGGAUAAGCCUGGUAAACUGGGUCUAAUACCUGAUAGGAGCCAUUUUGAGUGUGAUGGUUGGAAAGUUUUUUCGGUGUUGGAUGAGCUGGCGGCCUAUCAGCUUGUUGGUGGGGUAAUGGCCUACCAAGGCGGCGACGGGUAGCCGGCCUGCGAGGGUGGACGGCCACCUUGGGACUGAGAUAAGGCCCAGACUCCGACGGGAGGCAGCAGGGGGGAAGAUUGAACAAUGGGCGCAAGCCUGAUGCAGCGACGCCGCGUGGGGGAUGACGGCCUUAGGGUUGUAAAAUCAUUUCGCAAGGGACGAAGCUUUUUGUGACGGUACCUAGAUAAGAAGCACCGGCUAACUACGUG